GUGGGGGCAGAGGUGUGCGGCACAGGCCCUCCUGCGCUACCAAAGCGGAAGGAAAAUGAUUGGAAACAGCGUGCCUCGUCACACUCACACCUCUGAAGCAAGCGGGUCUGGGAGAGGAGUUCUCUGCCCAGAGCAGCCCACCCACAGCCAUGGCAGUCCAGCUGUGGCCUUGCUUGUCCCGGAGCAUAAGACAGGUUACUUCCAUCUCCUUCCUGCGCUACCAUGCCAGUCGUGAUUGGGAGCAGAAAAGCAGUGGCCUGGAACUUUGGAAUCCUAAAAUGAUGCCAAAUCAUUCCCUAUUGGGGAGGGCGACAGACAGCAGAGUCACAGAACGAUCAAAAUAGGAAGCCCAGAGCCCACAAGGGGGACUGCGGGCGGACAGGAACUCUGCCCUCCCCCUCAGUGUAUGCCUGUCCUCGCACAGCCUGCUGGGGCUCAGAGGGGCUGAUGGCAUCCCGACUCUCAGCUUCGACUGAGGCCAAGCAGACGUCCCAGUUCCAGGUUUCCGGGCCACACUCCUCCAACCACGGCCAUACCUUUCACACGAGAAACACAGAGAGGCUGGGAAUUCAGUGAACUUUGGGAUUCUGUAACCCGCACCGAUGAACUUGUGUUUAAUUUUCACCACGAGGAACCCUUGCAGGUACGGAAGGAAGGGAAUUUUUAGGGCUGUCGGGGGAGUUCUGUGCGUGUCGUGCUGUGACUGGAGCUGAGAGGUAAGGAACUAAAGUUGCCGUUGUUUUCUCUGCGCGCUCCGGGAUCACCACACCACGGUCUUCAGAGCCGUCCUUACCGCCGUGACAGUACAGCAGCCACGCCGGCUCCUCAGGGCUUCCCGCAGGUGGCCCUUCAUCCCGGUUCACUGCAGGUGACAGCCUGAUGAAGGAAGAGGUCCCCGCAGACCACGGGUGCUACGCACGCGCCCAGUUCCCAUUGGCAGGGAGCCCGAGCCCUGCCCUGGGGCCCAAGGGCGCGACCACACCCAUCCCCACAUCCCCACUUGGCGGGCCCCUCUUCUGAGACCACUCCCAGGUCCGACUCUGUAGCAGUCGGGCAGGAGAAGGAGACGAGAAAUAGACACGGUUUCUCAGCAGACGAAAUCGAAUACGAGCAUUUGGUGGCUCAGGGCCCGGAGGGCUGAAGAAACAGAUCGUAUGGCAGAAAGCUGCCGUCCCUAAGGCGAGGGGAAGCAGGGAAGAGGUCGGGCUGAGCAGACACCUAGACGCCAGGAUGAGGGGCCUGGAAGAGGCAGAGCCUGGAUCUCUGAGGAGGGGCUGCCACAAUUUCUCAGGGAAGGCGGAAGCAACCUUAUCCACCACGAGGGGAUAUGGGGCAGGAGAUGAUUUCUGAGGACCAUCUUCCAGGCCAUUGAAGACUUGGGGAGGUGGAGUAGCUUUCUAUCACAAUAACGCAAACAACGCGUAGAUAUCCACGAGCGCCGCUCUCUGAUCUCCUGAGAAAUCAAAGGCUUCCGUGGGGGAUGGCCACCUGGGCUCACCUCUCAAACCUCCAGGACAUGCUGAGUGUGCCACACGUUCCCCGGGGACCUCCAAGUGAGGGAGUGAGCCGCGCCGUAGAGCACAGCCCCACAGAAGGGGAUCUGGCUUGAGCCCGACGUCCUUGAUCCACACCCCGCCUGGGCCACUUGCCAGCUAGUGGUGCGGAAGAAGCCGUGAAUGGGGAUCACGCCGCGAACAGGCUGCUAGGGCUGCGGGAUGGGAGGAGCCGAGGCACACCGCAAGCACGCAAGGCCAUGACUGCAAAUGAUGUCCUCUGGCCUCUGAGAGUUGCACCCUGGGAAGGUCCACAGGGCCAGUCCUGUCUUCGACAGGCCUGCCGGUUCUCCACCAAGGUGGGCCGUGUCUUCAAGUCGAGGUUGCUGACACGUGUCCCGCUGGGCCUCUGGGGGUCCUGGGCCGGAAGCCUGGGGUGAGCUACCCUUCCAGGGAGGGUGGAUGUGCUCGGCCGGCCCGGAGCCCAGCAGUACCACGACGAUGCAGGGGGAGCGGUUCCUCUCUCAGCCUGCAGCUAGGGGUGGGGGGAAGGCAGCCCCUCCCUGUUCGCGGCUGCUAGGACUGGAGUCAGGGGGGCGUUCGUCCCCGCUCCCUCAGACCCACUUCUCCUGAUAGCACCAUCCUGCCUUUGCCCCGCGGGGGUCACCCUUCACCAACACGGGUUUUAGGUGGGGUCUCGGUUCUGCCCUCUGACCUUCUGAAAGCCAUUUGCUCCUGGCACCUGGGAACCCCACCCCGGGAGCUCCUCCCCACCCCGGGAGCUCCUCCCUACCCCGGGAGCUCCUCCCCACGGCCCUAGCGCAUCCCUGCUCACCCACCCCUGACUUUGCAUUUGCUCUGCGUCCUCUUCCCCGGGAUUUCUCUUGCUUACCCGCGCGCAACCUAUGCGUGUUUCUCAUUCCGUAUUCGCUGGUCUUUCUCCCAAACUGGACUGGCAUCCCUGGAGGGCAGGGGCUGUCUGUCAGAGUGGCACCGCCCCCAGCCCCCAGCCUAGGCAGCACUGCAUCAUGUGACCGGCGCCCAGGGCCACAGCCAUUGGCCCAGCGGGUCAACCUACCAGCCCGGGUCACCGAGGACUUGGCAACAGGCUCAUCAAUGCCACCCCGAGUCUCCUUACUGUCAUCACACGUGGGAGGAGGCCUUCGUGCCCACGAUACGCAACCCAGAAAUCGCCAAUUGACAGUUUAAUACCCUUGGUGGUAUAAAAGUGUGUAACUUUGGGGCGCCUGGCUGGCUCAGUCUGUAGAGCAUGUGACUCCUGACCUCAGGGUUUGAAGUUGGAGCCCCAAGGGGGGUGUAGAGAUGACUUAAAAACAAAAACUUUAGGGGCGCCUGGGUGGCUCAUUCGGGUAAGCCUCCGACUUGGGUUCAGGUCAUGAUCUCACGGUUUGUGAGUUCUAGCCCCACAUGGGGCUCUGUGCUGUCAGCAUAGAGUCCGGUUUGGAUCCUCUUGACUCCCUCUCUCUGCCCCUCCCCCACUCGCGUUCUCCCUCUCUCUCAAAAAUAAACAAGCAUGGAAAAUAAUUAAAAAUUGGGGUGCCUGGGUGGCUCAGUCGGUGAAGCGUCCGACUUCGGCUCAGGUCACCAUCUCACUCACGAUUCGUGGGUUCGACCCGUGUGGGGCUCUGGGCUGACAGCUCCGAGCCUGGAGCCUGCUUCAGAUUGUGUGUCUCCCUCUCUCUCUCUCUGCCCCUCCCCUGCUUGUUCUCUGUCUCUGUCUCUCAGAAAUAAAUCGCGUUAAAAUUUUUCAAAGAAAAUAAGUAAUUAAAAAUAAAAGUAAAAUAAAAACUUAAAAAAAAAAUGUAUACCUUCUUGACUGCCCAAACCGGCAAGCCUUGUCCUUGAAGACAAAAGACAUACUGGGGGCAAAAUAUUUGCAACAUAGGUAACAAAGAACUAACAGCCCUAGUGUACCACCAGUGGGGUCUUUCUGUCGGGAAGGCCAUCUCCUAGUAUCUAUUGACAUUUCAAACGCCCAUAGGUUUUGACCUGUCAAUUUCACUUAGAGGUAAUUAUCCUAGAGGGAGGCUGACACACGUUCACAGUUGGUACUUGCGGUGCUAAUGCCAACGGCAGAGAGAAGAGGAAAGGUAAACGUACCAUCCAGUUGGGGAUUCAUGAUGUAAAUUAUAGUACCUGCAUACAGUACAUACAUACAGUACAUGCAUCAGAUACCACGCAGCCAGAAGAGAAAUGAGCUAGACAUUUGUUUAGUGACAUGGAAGGUUUUCAAAGACCUAUUGCUAAGUAAGUAAGAGAAAAUCACAAUUAAAUAUAUAGGAUGUAUGCUUUUUAUUUUUAUUCAUUUUUGUUUUUCCCUGCCCGCCCCCGCCCCCGCCCCCGCCCCCGCCCCAGGGUAUAUGCUUUGUAAAACUCUGUAAAUGACUAUGUUGGUGAUUGCAUUAGAAGACUAUAUGUAGAAGAGAGAGACAAAAUUGUUAACAAUCUUGCUUAAUAUAAUGUUGCUUUGUAAAAAUG
Long non-coding RNA from Neofelis nebulosa (Clouded leopard), 3992 nucleotides. RefSeq lists it as uncharacterized. NCBI's taxonomy places the organism in Eukaryota, Metazoa, Chordata, Mammalia, Carnivora, Felidae. The transcript is spliced from 3 exons. The record is from RefSeq and is a predicted model, not a curated record.